UACGAAGGGAGCUAGCGUUGUUCGGAAUUACUGGGCGUAAAGCGCAUGCAGGCGGAUCGUUAAGUCAGGGGUGAAAUCCUGGAGCUCAACUCCAGAACUGCCUUUGAUACUGGCGAUCUUGAGUCCGGGAGAGGUGAGUGGAACUGCGAGUGUAGAGGUGAAAUGCGUAGAUAUUCGCAAGAACACCAGUGGCGAAGGCGGCUCACUGGCCCGAUACUGACGCUGAGGCACGAAAGCGUGGGGAGCAAACAGG
RNAcentral lists this ribosomal RNA (253 nucleotides) under uncultured bacterium. RNAcentral's name for it is "partial 16S ribosomal RNA". It matches the Rfam family "Bacterial small subunit ribosomal RNA", at positions 524 to 776 of the family's 1533-position model. The record is from RNAcentral.